RNAcentral lists this ribosomal RNA (329 nucleotides) under uncultured Glomeromycotina. Its description in RNAcentral is "eukaryotic LSU rRNA". Lineage: Eukaryota; Fungi; Glomeromycota. The record is from RNAcentral.
CAGUCGUACCGGCGGGUAAUCAGCCUUUUGGGUGUGAUUAUGUGGAGUGUGAGGAGUUAAACACCCUCAUCUUUGCAUAUUCGUGCACUUUGGGUGUACUUGCUCGUGUGGUAGGUUAACAUCAAUUUUGAUCGUCAUAAAAUGAUUGGAGGAAUGUAGCUUCGAACUCGUAUUGAAGUGUUAUAGCCUUCGGUAGAUGUGAUGAUUGGGAUUGAGGAUUGCAACGGAUACCCUUCGGGGCUACCUGUCUGAUCUCUGAAAGUUGCUCUGGUGCUGAAAGCUUGCUUAUGGUAUCAAAGUUGACGUUCAACAGGUUAGAACGGGAUAAA